This 267-nucleotide long non-coding RNA is filed under the name Mytilus galloprovincialis (Mediterranean mussel). The record is from RNAcentral. Lineage: Eukaryota; Metazoa; Mollusca; Bivalvia; Mytilida; Mytilidae.
GGUUGGGAUCCCGCUAACAUGUUUAACCCCGCUACAUUAUUUACGUAUGUGCCUGUCCCAAGUCAGGAGCCUGUAAUUCAGUGGUUGUCGUUUGUUUAUGUGUUACAUAUUUGUUUUUCCUUCAUUUUUUUUUAAUAUAAAUAAGGCUGUUAGUUUUCUCGUUUGAAUUGUUUUACAUUGUCUUAUCAGGGCCUUUUAUAGCUGACUAUGAGGUAUGAGCUUUGCUCAUUGUUGAAGGCCAUACGGUGACCUAUAGUUGUUAAUGUA